GUGCUUGCUUAGCAGCACAUAUACUAAAAUUUGGAACAACACAGAAAGGAUUAGCAUGGCCCCUGUGCAAGGAUGACAUGCAAAUUCAUGAAGCGUUUCAUAGUUUA
Camelus dromedarius (Arabian camel) is the source of this 107-nucleotide small nuclear RNA. The record is from Ensembl. NCBI's taxonomy places the organism in Eukaryota, Metazoa, Chordata, Mammalia, Artiodactyla, Camelidae.